CCCAAACUGCCUCUUUUAUGAGUUCAUCCAAAGCAUUCACCUCCGCCCUGAUCUUGCUGCAGCUGGUCUUGUCCAAUAACCGCAGAACUCUCUGCAAGUAAUCCAUCUGGUCGUAGACAAGCUGUAAGAUUUGUGGAGAGUGGGAAAUGAGAGAAAUGCGAGACGAUUGUAUAAUACGCUGAAUCGUAUUCUUGAGAGAAAUCGCCGCACCAUAAGCCGCCAUACCCAAAUUAUCAGCUCAGAAUACGAUUGUUGAAAUGAAAUUGCUUAGCUCUGCAAUUUUCCUCCAAAAUGAAGCUUAAACUAAACUGCAAUCAGCCCAGAAUAAAAUUCAGUCGCCUAACAAAGAAACGGAGAAGCAGAAGAAGGAAUUAUAAUAAGCAAAUUGAGAUGAAAUAAAUGAUAGAUCUCAGCUCGCUGCUGUACCUCUCGUGGAGGAGUUGGCGCAAGUCGACGGCGGCGGCAGCUGGUUUUGAUACAAUUUCAGAAACAUUCAAAACCACAUUCAAGAAUUUAGUAAAUGAUUUGAAAAGAUGUGUAUAAUGCAAUGGUAAAAUCGAUCUAUUGAUGAUUUUUAUGGCAAUUGUGUGUAAGAAUAGUAGCGAGAAACUAAGCAACCGAAGAUUCUAAUUAUGAAGAUUGAG
This 644-nucleotide long non-coding RNA is filed under the name Salvia miltiorrhiza (redroot sage). RNAcentral describes it as "long non-coding RNA (SMIL_LNC005894)". The record is from RNAcentral. Lineage: Eukaryota; Viridiplantae; Streptophyta; Magnoliopsida; Lamiales; Lamiaceae.